GGGAAGUAGUCGAUCAACGGAUCAUCAUCGGUCUCGGGGCCUACCGGAAAGGAAGAUAACGAAGGGGAAACACAAUAAAUAAGAGAGAAAGCAAACACACCACAAAGCAUGCCAAGGUAAAACACCGAGCUAGGGGCGACCUAAAGCAUUACUAAAUGUUACAGAUGAAGCGGGAAAAUAUCUCACCAUAUCUCCCGGGUCUUCGGAUUAUCGGACACAUGAUCCGGAGGGAAAAGGUACAUGUUCAUUAUGCUAGAGGCAUGUGACAGAUGAACGGACAACGUAAUCGGAUUCGUGGGAUUUUUCUGUACAACUUUCAUGUAUAAAAUAUUAUCAUCCGAGUUACGGAUUAUUUCUAUUAAUUUUCAAAGUUUCAAUGAUUUUCUAAAAUUUCUGGAUUUAUUUUAAUUCGAGUUGACCCAGUCAACUUGACUAGUCAAAUGGGGAGGGUGUGGCCUACAUGUCAUAGGGAGCAAUUAAAUUAUGCUAGUUAAUUAAAUUAACUAGUGUGAGUUUACUUGGCAUAGGCUAGUAGUUAAACUAACUAGGAGUAGUAAUUAAGACAUAGUACUAAUUAACCCACUAAGCUACUAGGCCGGCCACACUCUCCAACGCACACUUACAAGCUCACACACUCACGGACACACACACGCACAGACUCACGCUCCCCAUGGCUAGCAGCAGCGUAGGCACAACAAGCAGCAAGCAGCAAGCAGCUAGCAGGCCAGCAACAGCAAAGCAGGAGACGGUUGCGGCAGCAACGAGCAGCACAUCGAGCAAUAGCAUGGCAGCGGAGCAUCAAGCAGCAGGAUAGAGUAGCGGCGAGCACCCAUGCACAACAGCAAUAGCACCCACGCACGUACGCGUACGCGUACAUUCGGACGAGUUCGGGAUGGCAACUACGGCGACGAAUCGAGCACGGGAACCAGGGGAAUCGGCAGAGGAGCUCACCAGGAGGCUCAUGGACAUGGUCCAAAGGCACGGGGCGGCCGGGAUGCGACGAACUUGACGGCGAGGUGUGGCGGCCGUGGGCGAAGAUUGCUGCGAUGGCGAGCUUCUCGUGCGCCCCUACUCGAACCGAUGCGCGCAGGUGAAGCAACCGAUGACGAGGGAGCUCCUAGACACCUUCAAGCGACGAGGGAAGAC
Molecule: long non-coding RNA, 1146 nt
Filed under: Hordeum vulgare
Lineage: Eukaryota; Viridiplantae; Streptophyta; Magnoliopsida; Poales; Poaceae
Description: long non-coding RNA (HVUL_LNC007687)
Source: RNAcentral